GGAACAGCCUGCUCCUGAUCAGCUCCCGUCUGCUGAGCUGCCGGGCACUCAUCUAAGCAGUGCUUUUCCUGCAUUUUCCUCAUGGGUACCGAGUUAGCUGCAGCCCAGUGCUCUCCCUGAGCAGAUGUGUGCUGAAUUCAGUUGCUGGCUUAGAAAUAAGCAUCAGUGAGAUGUCAGAGAGAGGGAACAGCUCUGCCAGCUGCCAGGUGCUCCCAGCACUGCUUCGUCCUGGAGACGUGUGGGGUUCAGUGUGUGCUGGAACAUCCCGUCUUUCUCAGUCCUGCUCAGAAUUGUUUCCAGCAGUGCUGCCUUCCUCUUUAAUUAAAAAAUAAGUCCUCAACACUUGGUCCAGUGGACGUAUAAAAUCCUGAAGGUUUGUUUUCUGUUUUCACCUCCACUGCAGCAGAGUGGCUCUCUAGAACAUCCCUUAGGUUUCCUGGGUUUGUCAGAUCAGCGAAUGUCUCAUUAAAACUGUAAUAUACGAAAAUCAUUUUUCCUCCUUCGUAGUGUGAUCCCACUGCUCUGUGUUGUACUUCCCUUGUAUCUGGUGCCCAGUGGUACAGCUCCUUUAUCCUUUUUGAAUGACUUUCAUGGUUACCCUUACCUGUUGCUUUGUGUUUUUUGGUGUUCUUUUUUGGGGGGGAGGAGGGGGUUCUAAAUAGUCUGCAUUAAGGUUGUGUGCUCUUUGCAGCAAGUAUCUUGGGCUUGCUUUUCAUUUCUUGUGAAGCAUCCAAUGCACUUUUGCCUUGAUCCUGGAGUGAGAGCACCCCAAGCAAAGUAAUACAGCCGGCUGUCCAUGUCCUGCUACAGCUGAGAGGUUCUGAUUUCCCUACUUUUUGCCAAGACCCAGCCGGGCCAGGUCUGACAGGUGAAUUUGGGCACCGCCCAGCUUCCCCACAUGUUGGGUUUCAGCUUCCGUCUUUGCAUCCUCUUUCCUUGGUCUGAUUAGAACCCACUGUAACAAAUGCAGCAGGGCCAGCUGUGGUGCCUUGGCAGGUACCAAACACAGGGCAGCAAACCCUCCAGCUAAUCCAUCCAUGCUAUGAAGUCAUAAGAAUCUUGUUAAUUUUUAAAAAGCCCUCGAUGCCCGCUAAUCCAAAUCAAUUUUCAUUUCUUUCAUAAAGUCGUGCUUUCAUUUAGGCUUCAGCUAAGAAUUACAGCUAAUUUGUUCGAUUUUAUAACGGUGUAAUUGAAAAAGUGAUUUUAAUGUCCUGGCAACCAGAUUCCCUUUCUUUGGUUGUUAAUGAAAGAAUCCAUUAAGGUUAAAUGAUUUGGGCAUGGAUUCAAGUAGAAUCGCCUGAAUAUUCUGGGGGAGUGUUUCUGACCAUCUGCUGCUCUGUCAUUGGCGUUUGUGUUGUAAAUGGGGCUGUGAGGAGGACUUCACAGGUCCUGUUCCAACCAUUAACCGUAAAAUAUCAUUUUAAUUUUCUGAGCUCGAUGCAAAUAGUGGAAACGCUCAGGAGAGCUGGCUGCGCUCUGGGCUGCAGCAUCCUGUGUGUGUGGAUAUCGCUGCUGAGCUGUGUCCCCUCCUGCUUCUUGGGGCUGUUUGCAUUGAUUGCAGCACAUCCUCGUGCUCUGUCGCUCCUCUGUGUCUUCACUUCUUCACCCAAGGUUUGAAAUUGAGCACAGUGCUACUCUGUAGGGUGCUGAAGAACUGAGGGAUGAUGCGUUCUCUGGAUGCUGUUCCAUCCAGUGUGUUUUUAUUUAUAUUGUGGAUUAUGUAAAAUUGCUAACUGAGGAAAACAGCACAAAACCUACUUGAGUUGUAAUUGUAGCCCAUAGGUGAAAGAGCUUUGUGUCCUCUGUUUGAUAAUAUUACUUUCUAGUUGAUGUUCUCAAGAGGCAUUGCUGCAGAUUGUAUCGUGCUGCAUGUUUUUAGCUUUCUCAAGCAUUGAAAGAUGAAAGUAUGACCUAAAAAUACGCUUGACUUAAAUAGUUCAAGUGCAGAAAUAGAUAAUAUUGUAACAGGAGAUCCUUUCAGACUCUCCUAUGAUGUUUGCAGAUCAAACGUGUGCAUGGAAUAAAAACAGGAACUUCUGCCUUGAACAAAAGCAACGUGAGUGGAUUUCCUUUCGAACAUCAGUGAAAAAACGCCGAAGUGUUUAAAUGUUGUCCAGGAAAUCAUGCA
Molecule: non-coding RNA, 2128 nt
Organism: Meleagris gallopavo (turkey)
Lineage: Eukaryota; Metazoa; Chordata; Aves; Galliformes; Phasianidae
Source: RefSeq, a predicted model, not a curated record